RNAcentral lists this ribosomal RNA (247 nucleotides) under Capnodiales sp. Its description in RNAcentral is "partial small subunit ribosomal RNA". The stretch from base 1 to 102 matches the Rfam family "Eukaryotic small subunit ribosomal RNA", at positions 1338 to 1462 of the family's 1831-position model. The record is from RNAcentral. Lineage: Eukaryota; Fungi; Ascomycota; Dothideomycetes; Capnodiales.
AGACCUUAACCUGCUAAAUAGCCAGGCGAGCUUUGGCUCGUCGCCGGCUUCUUAGAGGGACUAUCGGCUCAAGCCGAUGGAAGUUUGAGGCAAUAACAGGUCGUCUAUCACAGGCCUGUAGAAGCGGGUUUUACUACCGCUAGUCCAACACCUUUAGACCUGUGGGGAAGUCCCCAAUGUCGGGCGGGUCGGGCAUCUCUGGGUGUCUUGGAGUGGGCUACACUACCUGGUACAGGGAACGCCCUCA